RNAcentral lists this ribosomal RNA (255 nucleotides) under uncultured bacterium. RNAcentral describes it as "partial 16S ribosomal RNA". It matches the Rfam family "Bacterial small subunit ribosomal RNA", at positions 524 to 776 of the family's 1533-position model. The record is from RNAcentral.
UACGUAGGGUGCGAGCGUUGUCCGGAAUUAUUAGGCGUAAAGAGCUCGUAGGCGGUGUGUCACGCGAUCGUGAAAACUUACAGCUUAACUGUGAGCGUGCGGUCGAUGACGGGCAUCACUGGAGUUGGGCAGGGAGACGUGGAAUUCCGUGGUGUAGCGGUGAAAUGCGCAGAUAUCAGGAGGAACACCGGUGGCGAAGGCGGGUCUCUGGGCCGAUACUGACGCUGAGGAGCGAAAGCGUGGGGAGCGAACAGG